Molecule: ribosomal RNA, 497 nt
Filed under: uncultured bacterium
Lineage: Bacteria
Description: partial 16S ribosomal RNA
Rfam family: Bacterial small subunit ribosomal RNA
Source: RNAcentral
GAUGAACGCUGGCGGCGUGCCUAAUACAUGCAAGUCGAGCGAACAGACGAGGAGCUUGCUCCUCUGACGUUAGCGGCGGACGGGUGAGUAACACGUGGAUAACCUACCUAUAAGACUGGGAUAACUUCGGGAAACCGGAGCUAAUACCGGAUAAUAUAUUGAACCGCAUGGUUCAAUAGUGAAAGACGGUUUUGCUGUCACUUAUAGAUGGAUCCGCGCCGCAUUGGCUAGUUGGUAAGGUAACGGCUUACCAAGGCGACGAUGCGUAGCCGACCUGAGAGGGUGAUCGGCCACACUGGAACUGAGACACGGUCCAGACUCCUACGGGAGGCAGCAGUAGGGAAUCUUCCGCAAUGGGCGAAAGCUUGACGGAGCAACGCCGCGUGAGUGAUGAAGGUCUUCGGAUCGUAAAACUCUGUUAUUAGGGAAGAACAAAUGUGUAAGUAACUAUGCACGUCUUGACGGUACCUAAUCAGAAAGCCACGGCUAACUACGUG